RNAcentral lists this ribosomal RNA (120 nucleotides) under uncultured bacterium. RNAcentral describes it as "partial 16S ribosomal RNA". It matches the Rfam family "Bacterial small subunit ribosomal RNA", at positions 796 to 916 of the family's 1533-position model. The record is from RNAcentral.
CACGCCCUAAACGAUGUCAACUGGUUGUUGGGUCUCUUCUGACUCAGUAACGAAGCUAACGCGUGAAGUUGACCGCCUGGGGAGUACGGCCGCAAGGUUGAAACUCAAAGGAAUUGACGG